Molecule: ribosomal RNA, 465 nt
Filed under: Vreelandella stevensii
Lineage: Bacteria; Pseudomonadati; Pseudomonadota; Gammaproteobacteria; Oceanospirillales; Halomonadaceae
Description: partial 16S ribosomal RNA
Rfam family: Bacterial small subunit ribosomal RNA
Source: RNAcentral
CCUACGGGCGGCUGCAGUGGGGAAUAUUGGACAAUGGGCGAAAGCCUGAUCCAGCCAUGCCGCGUGUGUGAAGAAGGCCUUCGGGUUGUAGAGCACUUUCAGUGGGGAAGAAAGCCUUGGGGCUAAUACCCUCGAGGAAGGACAUCACCCACAGAAGAAGCACCGGCUAACUCCGUGCCAGCAGCCGCGGUAAUACGGAGGGUGCGAGCGUUAAUCGGAAUUACUGGGCGUAAAGCGCGCGUAGGCGGUCUGAUAAGCCGGUUGUGAAAGCCCCGGGCUCAACCUGGGAACGGCAUCCGGAACUGUCAGGCUAGAGUGCAGGAGAGGAAGGUAGAAUUCCCGGUGUAGCGGUGAAAUGCGUAGAGAUCGGGAGGAAUACCAGUGGCGAAGGCGGCCUUCUGGACUGACACUGACGCUGAGGUGCGAAAGCGUGGGUAGCAAACAGGAUUAGAUACCCCUGUAGUC